CCUACGGGUGGCUGCAGUGAGGAAUAGUGGUCAAUGGGCGCGAGCCUGAACCAGCCAAGUAGCGUGAAGGAUGAAUGCCCUACGGGUUGUAAACUUCUUUUAUAAAGGAAUAAAGUGAGGCACGUGUGCCUUUUUGUAUGUACGUUAUGAAUAAGGAGCGGCUAACUCCGUGCCAGCAGCCGCGGUAAUACGGAGGAUCCGAGCGUUAUCCGGAUUAAUUGGGGUUAAAGGGAGCGUAGAUGGGUUGUUAAGUCAGUUGUGAACGUUUGCGGCUCACCCGUAAAAUUGCAAUUGAUACUGGCAGUCUUGAGUACAGUUGAGGUAGGCUGCAUUCGUGGUGUAGCGG
RNAcentral lists this ribosomal RNA (346 nucleotides) under uncultured bacterium. RNAcentral describes it as "partial 16S ribosomal RNA". It matches the Rfam family "Bacterial small subunit ribosomal RNA", at positions 338 to 681 of the family's 1533-position model. The record is from RNAcentral.